Molecule: long non-coding RNA, 425 nt
Organism: Homo sapiens (human)
Lineage: Eukaryota; Metazoa; Chordata; Mammalia; Primates; Hominidae
Exons: 3
Source: RefSeq, a predicted model, not a curated record
AUUUUGCUAAUGUUCUAUGAUGUCACAAAUGACAGAAUUUUUUUAUCAUCCGUCCCUUGAAGAAAACUUAUGUUGAAUUCAUAGGUUAGCCAUUAUACACAGUACUGCAAUGAACAUGGGAGUGUAAACAUCUCUUUGACACACUGAUUUCAAAUCUUUCAGGUGAUUUGUUGGACACACCAAUGCUCCUGACACAUGCUAUUCACUUGGAGCAGCUCCUCUUAUGUGGCACAUUCACAGUGCAACGAUAACAUCGAGACGUGAGAGUUAGUCUUCUCUGUAUAUGUACUCACAUAAGAAUCUGUACAUGUACUCACACAACACUCAAAUAUUUUUCAAUGAAGUUUCAUCAUCUUUGGAGUCUUACCUGUUAUUUGUUAAGGACAUUGAGAAUGUUGCCUUUCAUCCUUACUGAAAAAUUCAAU